Molecule: ribosomal RNA, 515 nt
Filed under: uncultured bacterium
Lineage: Bacteria
Description: partial 16S ribosomal RNA
Rfam family: Bacterial small subunit ribosomal RNA
Source: RNAcentral
GAUGAACGCUGGCGGCGUGCCUAAUACAUGCAAGUCGAGCGAAUGGAUUGAGAGCUUGCUCUUAUGAAGUUAGCGGCGGACGGGUGAGUAACACGUGGGUAACCUGCCCAUAAGACUGGGAUAACUCCGGGAAACCGGGGCUAAUACCGGAUAACAUUUUGAACCGCAUGGUUCGAACUUGAAAGGCGGCUUCGGCUGUCACUUAUGGAUGGACCCGCGUCGCAUUAGCUAGUUGGUGAGGUAACGGCUCACCAAGGCAACGAUGCGUAGCCGACCGGAGAGGGUGAUCGGCCACACUGGGACUGAGACACGGCCCAGACUCCUACGGGAGGCAGCAGUAGGGAAUCUUCCGCAAUGGACGAAAGUCUGACGGAGCAACGCCGCGUGAGUGAUGAAGGCUUUCGGGUCGUAAAACUCUGUUGUUAGGGAAGAACAAGUGCUAGUUGAAUAAGUUGGCACCUUGACGGUACCUAACCAGAAAGCCACGGCUAACUACGUGCCAGCCGCCGCAGUAA